CCAAUAGCGUAUAUUAAAGUUGUUGCAGUUAAAAAGCUCGUAGUUGAAUUUCGGGGUUAGUAAGUUGGUCGUGCCACUGGUAUGUACUGGCUUUACUGAUUCCUCCUUCUUGUAGAACCGUAAUGCCAUUAAGUUGGUGUUGCGGGGAAACAGGACUGUUACUUUGAAAAAAUUAGUGUUUAAAGCAAGCUAACGCUUGAAUACAUUAGCAUGGAAUAAUGAAAUAGGACGUUCGAUCCUAUUUUGUUGGUUUCUAGGAUUGACGUAAUGAUUAAUAGGGAUAGUUGGGGGCAUUAGUAUUCAAUUGUCAGAGGUGAAAUUCUUGGAUUUAUUGAAGACUAACUACUGCGAAAGCAUUUGCCAAGGAUGUUUUCAUUAAUCAAGAACGAAAGUUAGGGGAUCGAAGACGAUCAGAUACCGUCGUAGUCUUAACCAUAAACUAUGCCGACUAGGGAUCGGAUGAUGUUAAUUUUAUAAUGACUCAUUCGGCGCCUUACG
RNAcentral lists this unclassified non-coding RNA (498 nucleotides) under uncultured Glomus. RNAcentral's name for it is "SSU rRNA". It matches the Rfam family "Eukaryotic small subunit ribosomal RNA", at positions 591 to 1092 of the family's 1831-position model. Lineage: Eukaryota; Fungi; Glomeromycota; Glomeromycetes; Glomerales; Glomeraceae. The record is from RNAcentral.